CACGACGUAUGUUACCUGUUAGAGAAAUGGAGGGUAUGCUUGUUAACGAAUAUGGAAGCAACUCAAGUUUUCAGUUUCCUGGAUUUUGCAUGCGUCAAAUGCAUAAAGAUGAAGAUGAAGAAGGGAGUGAUUCUGAUAGGGGGAACUUUGAGGCUGUCACUCCCGAGCGAAAAAAAAUAAGGCUGGCCCUAUAAGCCAAGCCUUUAUUUUGGUACGUGAGACCCACUGGUCACAGCCUCAGGUAGCACAUACUUCAAUAAAAAGUCGAAAUAUGUUUGUCAAGGCUCCCGGGGAUGAAGAAGAUCGUGUAUGUUUCAGAGUCUUUCCAAACACCACGGUGGGGUGGUUUUGCUGGAUCAUUUCCUACCUACGUGAAGUGCCUGAGCAGCUUAUGGUACCCGUGUUGCUGAAUGAGGUUGAGAAUAACGCUAUAAUAAUACACGAUGACGAGCGUCGCUGAUGUCAUUUUCAGGCGUAAGCUAUACUUUAGUUUUCCGAACCACCCACUAGUACCACCGCAACAACCAGUCGCCUGUACUUCAGCUACCCAAACCACCCGCAACAACCAGUGAUCCAUGAUGUGAUCCAUGAUGGGAGGGUGGGGGUGGGGAAGUGAAGUAAUAGAUUCUUGUGCUCUCCUUGGAAAAAGGAUUCUGGUGCUGUGGGUGGUUUGUAAAACUGAAGUAUAGCCUACGCCUCAAGGCAUUAGCAAGCAAACAAGAGAGACUCAAAUUAAUAGUAUGAUUUUGGUUGAUUUCCGAAUUCUUACCGUUUUUUUCCCUUCAUAUUAUUAGUAUAAUUCAAUUCAAUACAGGGAACAAAUUUUUAUAGGUAACUAACUGAUAUAGUUAAAGUGAAUAAAAAAAAGUAUAGACUUUAUGGGCGAACAUGAAGCCCAAUUA
This is a long non-coding RNA of Arachis duranensis, 902 nucleotides long. RefSeq lists it as uncharacterized. The transcript has 3 exons. NCBI's taxonomy places the organism in Eukaryota, Viridiplantae, Streptophyta, Magnoliopsida, Fabales, Fabaceae. The record is from RefSeq and is a predicted model, not a curated record.